GAUGAACGCUGGCGGCGUGCCUAAUACAUGCAAGUCGAGCGAACAGACGAGGAGCUUGCUCCUCUGACGUUAGCGGCGGACGGGUGAGUAACACGUGGAUAACCUACCUAUAAGACUGGGAUAACUUCGGGAAACCGGAGCUAAUACCGGAUAAUAUAUUGAACCGCAUGGUUCAAUAGUGAAAGACGGUUUUGCUGUCACUUAUAGAUGGAUCCGCGCCGGAUUAGCUAGUUGGUAAGGUAACGGCCUACCAAGGCAACGAUGCGUAGCCGACCUGAGAGGGUGAUCGGCCACACUGGAACUGAGACACGGUCCAGACUCCUACGGGAGGCAGCAGUAGGGAAUCUUCCGCAAUGGGCGAAAGCCUGACGGAGCAACGCCGCGUGAGUGAUGAAGGUCUUCGGAUCGUAAAACUCUGUUAUUAGGGAAGAACAAAUGUGUAAGUAACUAUGCACGUCUUGACGGUACCUAAUCAGAAAGCCACGGCUAACUACGUG
RNAcentral lists this ribosomal RNA (497 nucleotides) under uncultured bacterium. Its description in RNAcentral is "partial 16S ribosomal RNA". It matches the Rfam family "Bacterial small subunit ribosomal RNA", at positions 28 to 507 of the family's 1533-position model. The record is from RNAcentral.